RNAcentral lists this transfer RNA (73 nucleotides) under Fodinibius sp. RNAcentral's name for it is "tRNA-Lys". It matches the Rfam family "tRNA". Rfam says of the family: Transfer RNA (tRNA) molecules are approximately 80 nucleotides in length. Their secondary structure includes four short double-helical elements and three loops (D, anti-codon, and T loops). Lineage: Bacteria; Pseudomonadati; Balneolota; Balneolia; Balneolales; Balneolaceae. The record is from RNAcentral. RNAcentral also lists the same sequence under 4 other names.
GAGUCGGUAGCUCAGCUGGCAGAGCAACGCCCUUUUAAGGCGUGGGUCGUGGGUUCGAUCCCCACCCGACUCA